This 208-nucleotide ribosomal RNA is filed under the name uncultured bacterium. Its description in RNAcentral is "partial 16S ribosomal RNA". It matches the Rfam family "Bacterial small subunit ribosomal RNA", at positions 568 to 774 of the family's 1533-position model. The record is from RNAcentral.
UGCGUAGGUGGUUGGGUAAGUCAAAUGUGAAAUCCUACAGCUUAACUGUAGAACUGCAUUCGAAACUACCCGGCUAGAGUACUGGAGAGGAGAUCGGAAUUCUCGGUGUAGCAGUGAAAUGCGUAGAUAUCGAGAGGAACACCAGUGGCGAAGGCGGAUCUCUGGACAGUUACUGACACUGAGGCACGAAAGGCUAGGGGAGCAAACG